Molecule: non-coding RNA, 8014 nt
Organism: Xyrichtys novacula (pearly razorfish)
Lineage: Eukaryota; Metazoa; Chordata; Actinopteri; Labriformes; Labridae
Source: the annotation of a GenBank genome assembly
UCUGUUAAAGGUGGUGUAGUCAGGAUCUGAGUUAGUUCCAGUUUUUAGGAGAAAUCUUGAAUGUAAACUCUACCCCUCCCAACCAGUUUUCCCCUCAGCUCCUCCUCUCCCCUCCCUCUCUUAAGCCCCGCCCACAAACAGACGCUCCUGCUCGCUCGUAUCGUUCCAAUUAAAUUCAGAUAUAAUGCAGAUAAAUACUUCAGAUCAUUACAAAUGGGGCCCAGUCAAGGUGAAAGUCAAAAGCAUUGGUGCUACUGUAGAUGCCAACAGACUACCAGCAAACACAAUGUUUGCAGGACUUCUACAACGAGGAUAAAGUGACAUAGUCCAGGACCCGAGGGAGGACAGUUUAGCGAUGGCGCUACAACACGCUACAGCAGGUCCGUUUGACAAGAAACACUUCUGUUACAGACACUUGUCUUACUUUGUUAAAGCGGUUUACCUGUCCAGCAGAAAGGUUACAGGGUCACCAAGAUCCCCAAGCGUCCCCCAUCGUUUAUGUUGACCCGGCUCUUUAGCUCUUGUCCGGUCUACCUCCGUUUUAAGCGCCCGUUAUUCCUCCAGAGUCUCCGGUAUUUACUUUGUUUUCUUGCUUGUGUUUUCCGUACUCUCUGGUUGGUUUCUAAGUUCAGUACUGCCGUCUAAGGAGAUGCUGAUUUCACUGAAUGCUGCUAUUAGAGGUACCUGGACUUCGGUGUUUUAACUCCAGGUGAUCUGAACCAGAGUCUGAUUCAAAGCGAACCAAGGCCCCUCUUUUGAAGCAGCCUCUGUACGAUGUUGUGGUCCACAUCGUAUCAAAGUUUCAGAGGACGACUUCUAAUAUUCCAGAGUUCAACGUCUGAAAAUCCCAACACUGACACGACAUUUAGGCCAAGCUGUCCUUCUUUACUGUAACUCUCACACAGAGCUGUGUCUAUGUUAUUCAAAAUGAUUAGAGCCUCAAGAAGAGAAACAUUUAAUUACAGGAGGGAGAUUUUUUAAUUUCCAUUUCAAGAUUUAAGUCGAAAUUUUAAAAAGUCGAAAUUUCGACUUUAUUCAUGUUGACUUUAAACUUGAAAUUUCAGUGUUUAAUGUCUAAGUUUUUAAUUUUAAUCUCCUUCCUGUAAUUAUGUUUUUUUCUCUUCUUGUGGCCCUAAUCUUCUUUGGUCCUGUCGUCUGUUGUCUGACGUUUUGCAUCAUAUUUUAAAUGAGGAAUCUUCUUGAAUCUGCUUCCUGACACUUCAUAAAAAGCAGUUUUUGCACAAAUGUACAUCAAACUGACCAAAUCUUUGGAUUUUCGGGGUGUGCAUGAUCAAAUUAAAGGAGAGUAUUGUCUGUUUGAACCAGCUGUUGUGUUUCCUUUUUUCUCCUAGAGUCUGAUCUUUCUGAACUCGAGGAUAACCGGGACACCUGCUGUCAAGAGGACCUGAAACAUGAAACAGAGACCUGCACAGAUCCUCGUCUGUACACCUCAGCAGAGAUGCAGCACGUCUGAACUUUAAAAACACACAGGCAGCCAGGCUGACAAGUGUUUGCAAACCUCAUGUCCUCCCACUCGCUGAGCAUCAGAAACACUCUGAAGGUUGUGUUUACAGUAUUGAAUUAGCGCCUGUGGUCUCGUUAAUGUGCGGCAUCGAGAGCCGAGCAGCAGGCAGGGCUUUGAUUGGAGCCGCUGCUGCUCUCGUAUAAUUCCUCGGCAAACAACGCUAUCAGGAACACCAAUGACCAGGCUGGGAUUAGUGCUGACAGAACCAUAAUUGGAUUUCCUGUACAGUUAAUUGAAUGAAGCUAAAUCUGUUCCUGCUGCAGUUUGUGUUUCAGCGUGGAGACAAAACUCUGAGGAUCCUCACAAACAUUUCUACCUGGAUGGAAGGAAAUAUUCUGAACACACCGCUUUGCUCCAAAAUAAAAAAUAUCCCACCUGAAUAUUUGGAUGAGUUUUCAUGUCGGGUGCAGAAAUAGGCCUCAGCAACGAUUUGGGCCCAGAGUUACAGGAGUUGAUGGUGCUGUAAGUGCAUUAUUUCUCUGUUUGCAUUUGAUAGGUUAUAAUGCAGGCACUAAUUUAUUUAAGGAACAUUUAUGACUUCACUCUUAAUGACAUAAAAAUGACCGAUUGCAACUACUAAGGUCGACUGUGCAGGAAGGAGCUUAAAAGUCGAACUAGGGCUGCACGAAUUUAGCCAAAAAUAAAAUCACGAUUUUUUUCUCUGAAGACUCGAUUUUCGAUUUUUUAUUCAGUGACAACUUCACCAAACUUCAAUUUAAUAAAAAGUUUUUCUAUCAUCUCUCAAAACAAAACCACUGAAAACAAUGUAGUUCAUAUGCCAAACCAGUAAGUGGCGCUGUAAUGCUGCACAAGAAAUGCACAAAAGACAGAAGAAGAGUACAGAGCAUGUGUUUAAAGGUUGUUUUGGCGCCAUAAAAGAGUUACGCUGUGUGUCACAUGAUCGUUUCCAGAGAUGCAGAUAGACAUCCACACGGAGAUGAAAUGGUCGUCGUUUACAGAUUUAUUCACUCUCUGACCCGUUUUUAAAAAGUACCGUUUACAGUCACCUGAAACGCCGAUAUGACAAAAAACUUCAGCGUUUCCUCCUGAAUUUGUUUCCGUGGUGACGGGUUGAUACCUCCUUCAGCCCGACUUUGCAGCGGAGAGUGGUUUGCUCUUCAUCUGAAACUGUGAAGUCGUACCAAUUCAACACAACUGACUUGCUCUUGUCCUUUUUAACCACGAAAUUAUCGACUUUUGCAAACGCUGUGUUUGUUUACACUGGCGUGUGGGAACUGGAGAGUACUCUUACAGGGAGGGGGAGCCUAUGGUGGCCUGGAAGCACGAGACAUGAUAGAGGUAAAAAUCGAUUCAAUGGUUUUUGUUAUUUAACAUCAUCAUAAUCAAAUAGAAUGAUUAUGAUCUAAAAUCGAUCAAUCGUGCAGCCCUAGAACUAAAACAUCUGAGACUUUGGAGUGUGUUGUUGGUUUUCAACACACUUCCAAAAACUCCCUCUCAUUACAGUUUGAGCGGGACAGAUCGGACUGAAGGAGAGCCAGCGAACACAGAUACAGAAGUGCAAAAACACCACAACAAAUACGGCGAGCCCUCCAGAAGAACCCUCGUCAAGUACACCAAACACACCAUCUAAAGUCAGACCCUGAGUCUCUGAAUGUGAGAGCUUUACCUGACCUCCUGCCUUACUUGAUUAUGUGGUUGUUGAAGCGGCGUUCGCUAAAGUUGUCGGCAGGAAGAGACAAAUUAUCGCCUGCUGUGCGGGGACAGAAGACAGAUAUUAAACAGCUCAUCCUGACCGGUCUGGCUCUAACCUUUGACAUCCGGACUCUGCCAAACCUCGAGAAAACACUGAAGUUACCAGACUGCUUUUCUCUCUUCUUCUUCUUCUUCUUCUUCUUCUUCUCCUAGUUUGUUGGCAGAGACUGCAGCUUCACACCUGAAGUUUAAUUUGAUUGUAUUUCUAAUGAUUGCACAUGCUUCGUCUUACUCCUGACAGAUUCCGGCAUUAGUUUUCAAUUUCAGAGAAUCCACAGCAAUCAUUCGUCUUGUUCCCGUCUGCAUCAAUCACGGCUGAAAAGAGUAAACAUGUGCGAGCGUUGCCAAUCAUUUGAGAAUAUCAGUGUUCUCAAACGGCGAUCAGUCUUUCUGAGACAAAAGAGCGUCAUCAGAAUCAGAUUCUUCAGGUGUCUGAUGUGAUUAGAGCUGGCAGCUGAAAAAUGAGAAAUGCUCUGGGUUUGAUUCACUGUAACACAUUAGAGAACCACCCAGCUGCUAAUCUGCUCGGCUGCUCCUUCAAGAGAGGAGGAGGAGGAGGAGGAGGAGGAGGAGUGCGAUGCUUGAUUAGUCUGAGCCGCCUAAUUACCCACGCUGCACUGCAGGCUCAUCAGCGCUGCAGCCUCGCCUCGUUUGGUGUUUCAGUGUCAACUCGUGGAGAUCAAACUGCAGAAAACACAAAGCAGCGUUAAAGAGCCAUUAAAGGUCCAGAAGAGCUUAAUGAGAACAAUUUGCACACUAAAGUUAAAUUAGAUGUUUUCUUCUUCGAAAUUCAUCUUCUCAUUACGUUCAGAUUCAUCAGAUCACGGCGCAGCGGUUUUUUUAAACACCACAAAGUUAACUUUCAGUCCAACAGCUCGUUGUUCUUCAGUUAAAACUCAGAGUAUGAUUCACCAGCUGCAAAACGACGAUAUGAGCUGUGAGAUCUGAGAGUUUACACUCGCCACAGACAGAGUCAAACAGUAUUUGAGGAUCUUUGUCAUCUAGGUGGUGAUCUGAGUGGGCGGAGAUGCAGUGAUGAUGAGGCAUGUGCUGACUGGCUGCCUGCAUGUUGUCCAGAAAGGAGGGUGCUGACCAGGGAUUUUAUUUUUGGACAAAAUCGUGCAGCCCUAAUUCGUACAUGUACUGAAUGAAGACGGUGCUGCACUCAUAAACUGUAUAUAAAAUGGACGCCGUCUGCCUCCUCGCUCGGUGAAGCCACCGCGAGAACAGCACCCUCUGGUGACGGGCUGCAGUAUAGGUCAUAAAUCCCACCUCCUUAUGGAGCUGUGGACAAACUGUAUAAAUUAAUGACACAGAAUAUAAAUGUUUCUCCCCCCUGGUUGUGAUGUUGACAUGUAGUUACUGUCAGACUGGUUUGUGCUCAAGUCCUCUUUUUUCAGUACAGCUCCAUUUUUAAAAGUUUUUAGGGGGUUCAUGUUUUCUAUUACUGACAAAGCUAAUGGAGAUCUAAAUAAACGAAACGAAGCAAACCAAGGUCUGUUUUUAACUUUCCAUAGACCCAGAGUGGAUCAUGAGCAGUGGCGGCUGCUGGUCUUUCAAGGAGGGGAAGCUCAUUUUUCUGGCCUACAUCAUAAUUGUAUUUGUUUAUUAGUAUGUAACAGAACAGAGUCGCCAAACACAACGGCAGUCGUUUUUAACAAAGACAAAAGUCGCUGAGGAUCGGUAAAGUCUCUGGAGCAGUUAAGAACAACGGAAUGAAUGACUUGGAAAAUGCUCUGGUAGAUGUUUUAUUCUUCAAGAUCGCUGAUUCGCUUGUUUAGCUGUCAAUCAAACAAGGAUUUCGCCUCAGACAGCUCAUCCAAUCAUGGAUGCAGAAGCUUGGAGUCCGGGAGAAAGUCGGGACCGCCCUCUCGCCAUAGAACUCCAGUGAAGCUGACCUUCCGAUGGGCGGGACAAAGCCCAGCAUUUAUCCAAUGAGCGUCUAGUUUCGCUGCUGGAACAACCCACUUUGAGCUUUCACAUUGAAGUCAGCAGAAGCCCAGCGUCCGGCUGUUUAAAGUGCUGAGGCGCUGCGGGGAUGAAUGAGAACGAAGUUAUGCAGAAUCAGCUUCUUAUCACACUGUGAUAAGAAGCUGAUUCUGAACAAAAGUUGAAGGCUUUCUUGCGCGUAUUUAGUUAAUGAAAUGUACACACAGCGGUAUGUAUUUCACUACUUUUUCUUUUUUUGGGGGGGUGACAUUUUAAGGGAAGCUGGGCUUCCCUUGCAGUCUUAGAGCAAUCGCCACUGAUCAUGAGAUCAUCUUUUUACUCUGUCAGGUACAGGACGUCGACAUUAUACGACAAACCUCUCUGUGCAGAUCAAAUCUAAGCUUCUCCCUUCAGUCCAGACUGCGGUGAAGAUCAUGCGAACUGAAAACCAGACCCAUGACAUACCUUCCACUCUGAGCAUGAGCUCCUACCUGCUGGCAGGUGAUGUAGGCUCCUCCACAUCUAGACUCUGGCUGUGCAGAACGAUGGUAAAACAAGCUUGACAGAUUUAUAAAAACCUACAGAGACUCAAAAGGACUUUCACAAGUCAGUUAAUUUAACUAAAUCCCCAUGAUAUCAUUUCCUUUAUAUUUGGUCUAACUGCUUUUUAAAUAUGAGAAUGAUGCUGUUAAUAAAGGAGCCUGUCACCCUCUUCAUCACAUCAUGGUUUGAACAGUUUUUGGACUAUAAUGGAGCUCUACAGCGCAGAGGAUGGAGAUGUACAUUGAGCUGUGACUCACACUGAAUACUUGAAAGCAGAUACGCCCACUGUCGGUUCAGCUCUGCACACAGGAAUUUCUGACAGUAUGAAAAAUAUACAGAUAAGAUGAUGUGCAGGUUUUCAGCGGCGGCUCAGGCUCCUUUAAAGUGUUCCUCCCUCAGGAUGAAAGCACAGAGCUGUAUUAUCCCCCUGUGGAGGCUGGCGGGGCUCUGACAGGAUUUUCUCCAAUAGCCCAGCGUGAGAAAAAAGCUCUUCAGAGUCACGGUCGAUUCAUCAGGGUACCAGGAAAGCCGGGGAAGCAUCACCUCUGCUUGGAAGCCAAAAGUCCCUCCACAGUGAUGGUGUGGAGGGAAAUGGGAUGGAAAUUUAGGAGGAGAGGGAAACUGUGAUAGGUCACUCAGUCGGGGGAGUUCACCACAGGCGAAAGAAGCCGUGAAUAAUCUGACUGUAUGUCAGAGCAGAAUUACUGAGCACAAACUGGGUUUUCUGAAUAAAGUGACAUUUGACUGUUUGGAUCGAUGUAGUCAAUUCAAUCAGAAAUGUCGUUUCGUCAUUCUGGUCCACGGUUCUACGAACAACCAGACAAAGUUGAAUUUAUGGUUUGAGGAGCACCUGAAACAAAGAGGAAGUGUUCCUGUGACCCUCGUUACUAUUUCCACCGUCUGCUUUACAACCAUGAAAACCCUAAACCUGAAGAAAGCUCCAUGUCUGCAGGAUGACCCUGGUCCUGCUGCUCAAACCCAGGCAUGGUGAUGUGGGACAAUGAGGCUUAGACUCUCUCUAUCUGCUUUCAACUACAUUGGAUCGUGUUCAACCUCUUUUAAAGACCCACUCCGAUGAAAAUCAUGUUUUUCUUGUUGUCUAAAUGUUCAUGUUUGUUUUUCUGAUGCUACAGGACAUAUCAGGAGAAAAACAAGUGCAAAAUUGUAUUUCUGCAUUGAACCUCUCAGACCCAGCAGGUUCAGAAACAGUGAGAUUUCUUAUGUCACAAAUCCAAGCUCCGCCCCCAGAGUCCCGCUAUGCAGGCCAGACUCUGAGAAGAAGAGAGGAUAAUCGCGGAACAAGCAUACGUUAGCAGACUGCAAUGCUUGUAAGAAAGCUGAUUAUGAUAUUAACUUUCAUCAUGUCCUCAAAGACAUUAGUGUCCGAGAGCUGAAUAGUUCCUGUUACCUGCUACCUCUACUACACCGGCAAUGUUAGGCUGCAAGCAAGCAUGAAGAGGAGUGUGCAGAGCAGCGCUGACUCCGCCCACGACUCAGAGGCGAAUUGCUAAUGAGCUACAGGAGCUCUGCAGAAGAAAAGUCCUUAAAAAUGACACAGGUAAGUGAUUUUGGCGAAAAACUUCAUGACAGUUUAAAGACAACUGAGAACACUUAAAGUUGGUAAAAAACAAACAAACAAACAAACAAACAAACAAACAAAUGACUGGAGUGGGAUUUUAACGAAACGUGACCAAUCUAACAAACUAGCUAAAUAUGCUAACAAAGUAGCUAAAUAUGCUAACAAACUAGCUAAAUAUGCUAAGAAAGUAGCUAAAUAUGCUAACAAACUAGCUAAAUAUGCUAACAAAGGCGCUAAAUAUGCUAAGAAAGUAGCUAAAUAUGCUAACAAACUAGCUAAAUAUGCUAACAAAGUAGCUAAAUUUGCUAUAUAUAUGCUAUAUGAAGCCAUUUCUUUACAUCGCCCUCCCACCACUUGAUAGAGGAGGGCAGCAGAACAAUAACAUUGUCUCAUUUUCGAUGAGACUGAAAAAUCUUCUUUUUUAUCAUCAGUUAUCAUUGUUUUCAUCCUUGAUCCUCUAAUAAUUAUGAUUUGCAUACAGCUGCUAUGAAAAAACGCUGGCUCCACGUCCAGAAACAGAAGACGUGUCCAAAAUCCAUACAAGACAUCAGGGCGGCUGGGAUUUUGCAGCGCUGACUCACACAGCAGGUCUGUAUGUCUUUCCAGGAUUGAGGAGACAUGAGUUGAGGAUUUGGGUGUUUCACAGCAUUAGAAAGUUCCCUCUGAACAGCGUGGCUUCAACUCUGUGACAGCGGUCCCUGAACAAACCCUGGAGGAUACCAGUG